This 2447-nucleotide unclassified non-coding RNA is filed under the name Leishmania donovani. Its description in RNAcentral is "gene:LdHU3.35.1870(CDS-product:peroxisome_targeti ng_signal_1_receptor_putative)". Lineage: Eukaryota; Euglenozoa; Kinetoplastea; Trypanosomatida; Trypanosomatidae. The record is from RNAcentral.
CAUCGUCGUCGUGCUUGUACACACAUACGCACGCGCACAGUCUCCCGGCGCACACACGCACAUACGGCGGAGCCGAACCGUCACAAGACUACGCACCCACCCCUACGUUCGUAGCUCCUCUGCGUAUCUGCGAAGCUCGCUCCGUUCCCGACGCACCUAAGUCAGCGCGCAACUAACUCUUCCCUAUCUGUUUCCAUAUUGUUUGUUCCCCCCCUCAACACAAAACAAACGGCCACAAUGGACUGCAACACUGGGAUGCAGCUGGGGCAGCAGUUCUCUAAGGACGCCACGAUGAUGCAUGGUGGCGUGCCCAUGAGCGGCGCCAUGUCGGAGCAGGAUGCCCUGAUGGUGGGCGCGCAGGUGGCGGGCGCUAACCCCAUGAUGGCGGCUCAGUGGGCACAGAAUUUUCAGCAGCAACAGGCGAUGCAAGCGAUGCGACAGCAGCACGAGAUGGAGCAGGCAUUUCAGAACUCGCAGCAGCAGCAAGCCGCUGCUGCGCAGAGUAGACAGAUGCUUGGCAUGGCUGGGCCGCAGCAACAGCAAUUCAUGGCGCAGCAGCAGCAAGCAUCGAUGAUGAAUGCCGCUAUGAUGAGCCAGGGGAUGAUGGCGGCUAACAUGGGCUUAGGUAUGAUGAUGCCACGCACGCAGUAUCAGCCGUUGCCCAACCUGUCCGCGCUGCAGCCCAAGCAGCAGCAGCCGCUUGCCAACCUAGCACCAGCGGCGCAGGACUCGGCGUGGGCGGACCAGCUCAGCCAGCAACAAUGGAGCACCGACUACUCGCAGGUGCAGACCUUCAGUGCACCAGGGAUGGAGGACAAGACGGUGGAGGAGCGGAUAAAGGAUAGCGAAUUCUACAAGUUCAUGGACCAGGUCAAGAAUAAGGAGGUACUGAUUGACGAGGAGAAGGGCGAGCUGGUGCAGGGCCCCGGCCCCGAGGUCGGGGUGCCAGAGGAUGCGGAGUACCUUCGUCACUGGGCCGAGAUGGAGGGGCUACACAUGCCAGAGAGCGUCUUUCAGUCGCCUCCACCGGCGAGCGCGAUGACGUCUCCGGAGAACGGGGACCCGGACGCGUACGUCAAGGAGAUGGAUAUGGCCGCGAACGACGUCGAGGACUGGGCGCAGGAGUAUGCGGAGAUGCAGGAACGCCUGCAGAAGGUGACGAACAGCACCGACUACCCCUUCGAGCCUAACAACCCGUACAUGUUCCACGACUUUCCGUUCGAUGAGGGGAUGGAGAUGCUCCAGCUUGGCAACCUUGCCGAGGCCGCUCUUGCUUUUGAGGCGGUUUGCCAUAAGGACAGCAGUAAUGAGAAGGCAUGGCAGAUUCUUGGAACGACGCAGGCGGAGAACGAGAAGGACGGGCUGGCCAUCAUUGCGCUCAACAACGCCCGCAAACUGAACCCCCGCAACCUCGAGGUUCACGCCGCGCUGAGCGUGUCGCACACGAACGAGCGCAACGCCGACGCCGCCAUGGACUCGCUGAAGGCGUGGCUCAUAAAUCAUCCCGAGUAUGAGCAGCUCGCCUCCGUGUCUAUCCCGCCUAACGCGGAGCUCGACGUGCAGGAAACGUUCUUCUUUGCCGAUCCGUCCCGCAUGCGGGAGGCCCGUACCCUCUAUGAAGCCGCCAUCGAGAUGAACCCGAGCGACUCGCAGCUUUUCACGAAUCUCGGCGUGCUGCACAAUGUGGCACAUGAGUUCGACGAGGCUGCCGAGUGCUUCCGCAAGGCGGUCGCGCUGCACCCCGAUGACCCCAAGAUGUGGAACAAGCUCGGCGCCACCCUGGCAAACGGCGGCCACCCUGACCAGGCACUGGAGGCGUACAAUCGCGCUCUGGACAUCAACCCAGGCUAUGUACGGGCCAUGUACAACAUGGCAGUGGCGUACAGCAACAUGUCGCAGUACAACAUGGCCGCCCGCCAAAUUGUCAAGGCGAUCGCGUCGCAGCAGGGCGGCACGAAGCCCAGCGGCGAGGGUUCCAUCAUGGCGACACGCAACAUGUGGGACCUUCUGCGUAUGACGCUGAACCUCAUGGACCGCGAUGACUUGGUGCAGCUGACAUACAACGAGCAAUUGGAGCCGUUUGUGAAGGAGUUCGGACUUGAGGGCCACGUCUAAUCACCUGCUACACGAGGCAGAGACAGAGAGUGCUUCACAGCAGCGCGGUGGUAAGCGCAUUGCUGAGGAGUGGGAUGGGGGGUGCGGCAAGCGAUCCAUCGCCAUACCCUUUUCUUGGCCCGCUCUCCUCUCCGCCUUCGCCUAUACGUGAGCUCCUGUUCUUGCUGUCUCCCCCACUCGCUUCAGAGCUUAUUCUCUCUUUUCUCUCCUUCCUGUGCUCGCCCCCAACCGCCCUCCUUUUCCUCCAUCAAACGUCUGUGCUUCACCGUCUCCCUCUUUCCUUCCCUCUUUCCCUCUUUCCCUCCUUCCCUCCCCCCUUCCCUUCCCCCAAG